AGGGCACACCAGGGGUGGAGCUUGUGGCUUAAUUUGACUCAACACGGGGAAACUCACCAGGUCCAGACACAAUAAGGAUUGACAGAUUGAGAGCUCUUUCUUGAUUUUGUGGGUGGUGGUGCAUGGCCGUUCUUAGUUGGUGGAGUGAUUUGUCUGCUUAAUUGCGAUAACGAACGAGACCUUAACCUACUAAAUAGUGCUGCUAGCUUUUGCUGGUAUAGUCACUUCUUAGAGGGACUAUCGAUUUCAAGUCGAUGGAAGUUUGAGGCA
RNAcentral lists this ribosomal RNA (270 nucleotides) under uncultured eukaryote. RNAcentral's name for it is "partial small subunit ribosomal RNA". It matches the Rfam family "Eukaryotic small subunit ribosomal RNA", at positions 1161 to 1452 of the family's 1831-position model. The record is from RNAcentral.